RNAcentral lists this ribosomal RNA (551 nucleotides) under Rhinodoras thomersoni. Its description in RNAcentral is "partial 16S ribosomal RNA". It matches the Rfam family "Bacterial large subunit ribosomal RNA", at positions 1852 to 2606 of the family's 2925-position model. Lineage: Eukaryota; Metazoa; Chordata; Actinopteri; Siluriformes; Doradidae. The record is from RNAcentral.
GUCUUGCCUGCCCAGUGACAAGUUAAACGGCCGCGGUAUUUUGACCGUGCGAAGGUAGCGCAAUCACUUGUCUUUUAAAUGAAGACCCGUAUGAAUGGCGGAACGAGGGCUUAACUGUCUCCCUUUUCAAGUCAAUGAAAUUGAUCUGCCCGUGCAGAAGCGGACAUAUAAAUACAAGACGAGAAGACCCUUUGGAGCUUAAGAUACAAGACCAACUACGUCAAGGGCCCUCAAAUUCAAGCCAAACUAAGUAAUAUAUGAUCUAUAUCUUCGGUUGGGGCGACCACGGGAGAAAACAAAGCUCCCAUGCGGACCGGGGCCAUAACCCUAAAACCAAGAAAGACAUUUCUAAGUCACAGAACAUCUGACCACAAAGAUCCGGCCUACCAGCCGAUCAACGGACCAAGUUACCCUAGGGAUAACAGCGCAAUCCCCUUUCAGAGUCCAUAUCGACAAGGGGGUUUACGACCUCGAUGUUGGAUCAGGACAUCCUAAUGGUGCAGCCGCUAUUAAGGGUUCGUUUGUUCAACGAUUAAAGUCCUACGUGAUCU